This 553-nucleotide long non-coding RNA is filed under the name Gossypium barbadense (sea-island cotton). RNAcentral describes it as "long non-coding RNA (GBAR_LNC000326)". The record is from RNAcentral. Lineage: Eukaryota; Viridiplantae; Streptophyta; Magnoliopsida; Malvales; Malvaceae.
UUCAAUCAACAACAAGAUUUACACAAACAUGUAGGAAAAGGAUGGAUGCCUUUGCACCUUGACAUGUGUCCAAGCUUGGCUGUACCUAUUGCCUAAAGUGCUGCAAAUGCUAUCCAAAGAUAAUUAUUAUUGAGAAUCAAAUAUUAGUAUAAUCGUUUCAUACAUUUAACGGCUAUAAUAUUCAAAUGUUCAACCAAUAUUUAUAAUCAAUUUUUCUAUUCUCAAAUUAACACCUAUUUGUUACCUCUACAUUAGAAGUGGCAAACGGCCGAAUUCGGACCGGUUGAAAUUGGUGAAUUUUUAGAUUUAAAGUUCAGUCCGAAAAGUAGGAGGAUUUAGGUAAAAAUAUAAGCUUAAAAAAUAGGUUUGAGUAAAAGAUACGACCCGUUUAAAAAACGGGUCAAGCCUCAGAUAAGGCAUUUUAGUCCGGACCUAACCCACCCGAAUUCACAAAAAGACAAAAAAAUUCUACUAUUUUUUUGUUGUUUUCUUGUUGUUCUCUUUCUAUUUUGCUACCAUUUCACUAUUAUGUUACUACUAUUUUGUCGUUAUU